Molecule: ribosomal RNA, 407 nt
Filed under: uncultured bacterium
Lineage: Bacteria
Description: partial 16S ribosomal RNA
Rfam family: Bacterial small subunit ribosomal RNA
Source: RNAcentral
AUUGAACGCUGGCGGCAGGCCUAACACAUGCAAGUCGAGCGGAGCGGCGGACGGGUGAGUGAUGCCUAGGAAUCUGCCUUGUAGUGGUGGAUAACGUCCGGAAACGGGCGCUAAUACCGCAUACUAUCAGAUGAGCCUAGGUCGGAUUAGCUAUUUGGUGGGGUAAAGGCCUACCAAGGCUACGAUCCGUAACUGGUCUGAGAGGAUGAUCAGUCACACUGGAAAUGAGACAAGGGCCAGACGCCUAAGGGAGGUAGGAGUGGGGAAUAUUGGACAAAGGGCGAAAGCCUGGUCCAGCCAUGCCGCGUGUGUGAAGAAGGGCUUCGAAUUGUAAAGGACGUUAAGUUGGGAGGCGUUACCAACAGAAGAAGCACCGGCUAACUACGUGCCAGCAGCCGCGGUAAUUC